UGUAAUUUCAUCAUCCAGUUUUGAUGAUCGAUAUGUGUGCGCUACAGUGUCGGCCUGAUCCCGUCGUGAGUUGACGUUGAGCAAGCACAUACUUUAUGCAUCUUCUUUUAUAAAAUGUUAAGGUGGCCUCAAAGUGAAAAUUUUCUAUUCGGUGCCUUCAAAUAGGAAGCUUUUUCAUAUAAGUGUUUGCCUUAUAAUCUAGAACCAUAAGAAAGCAAUUUUGAACGCAACCCACGGUAAAAAUUCUCGCCUACGUCAUUUGUGUAGUUGCAUUUGGUACCUUAACUAUUGAAAACAAUAGACGAGGGCAUCUCGAUGGUAUAGUCCAAUUGCAAAAGACUUAUGAUUUGAUUACAGAAUGUGUUAGGAGUCUUAAUACACAGUGAUUAUUGUUUUUUUCUAACUAUGAUCCAUAUGGUGGUAUUGGUGUUGAUAAUCACCUGAUACUCGAUCGAGUAACUUUAAAACACAAUGAAGACCAGAUUGGGAGAAGUUUUGGGCCUAUACCUGAAUUUCGGCUUAGGAUAUGGCUUUUUAACACCCAAACCUCAGAUUCAGAUGUUAUAAUCAAUGACCCAGAAAAUUGAAUAAAAAAUGCAAAAUAAGUUUUAGUAUUGUGAUAGAGCAAGAAGAGAGCAUUGGCAUUUCAAAAUCAAUAGGGCACAUAACAGGUAUAUUAUUGACCAAAUAAUGGUUACACUAUAAAGGGUGUCGUCUCCAAUAAUCGGUGAGCCUCAUCGGAUUCGAAUGCGUUGUAAUAAUAACUCCAUUAUUGCUGUUUUUCCUUCACGUUUUCUCUGUACUUGAUUAUACAUGAAGUGAUGAAGAGGGUCUGGACAUGGUAACAUAACUCUCUUUUGAUGUGGAAACAAACCAUCAACAGAGAUACAAGGAGGAAGAAGAUGCAUUUGUUUCUUAUCAAGUACAUGUUUCAAGCGACCGUGUACAUGAUCUGGAGAGAACGCAACAGAAGGAGGCAUGGAGAAGCUGAAGCUCCAGCAGGGCUUUUGAUAAAAUUACUCGAUAAGAACAUGAGAAA
Molecule: long non-coding RNA, 1039 nt
Organism: Brassica rapa (field mustard)
Lineage: Eukaryota; Viridiplantae; Streptophyta; Magnoliopsida; Brassicales; Brassicaceae
Source: RefSeq, a predicted model, not a curated record